CAUGUAGGCGGGUCUUUAAGUCAGGGGUGAAAUGCCAAGGCUCAACCUUGGAACUGCCUUUGAUACUGGAGAUCUUGAGUCCGGGAGAGGUGAGUGGAACUGCGAGUGUAGAGGUGAAAUUCGUAGAUAUUCGCAAGAACACCAGUGGACGAAGGCGGCUCACUGGCCCGGAACUGACGCUGAGAUGCGAAAGCGUGGGGAGCAAACAGGAUUAGAUACCCUGGUAGUCCACGCUAGUAAACGAUGGAUGCUAGCCGUUGGGGAGCUUGCUCUUCAGUGGCGCAGCUAACGCUUUAAGCAUCCCGCCUGGGGAGUACGGUCGCAAGAUUAAA
This 332-nucleotide ribosomal RNA is filed under the name uncultured bacterium. RNAcentral's name for it is "bacterial SSU rRNA". It matches the Rfam family "Bacterial small subunit ribosomal RNA", at positions 568 to 898 of the family's 1533-position model. The record is from RNAcentral.